RNAcentral lists this transfer RNA (73 nucleotides) under Camelus bactrianus (Bactrian camel). It matches the Rfam family "tRNA". Rfam says of the family: Transfer RNA (tRNA) molecules are approximately 80 nucleotides in length. Their secondary structure includes four short double-helical elements and three loops (D, anti-codon, and T loops). Lineage: Eukaryota; Metazoa; Chordata; Mammalia; Artiodactyla; Camelidae. The record is from Rfam by way of RNAcentral. RNAcentral also lists the same sequence under 3 other names.
GAGGAUAUAGCUCAAAUGGUAGACUGCAUGCUUAGCAUGCAUGAGGUCCUGGGUUCAAUCCCCAGUACCUCCU